RNAcentral lists this long non-coding RNA (683 nucleotides) under Felis catus (domestic cat). RNAcentral describes it as "lncRNA (ENSFCAG00000053150.1)". The record is from RNAcentral. Lineage: Eukaryota; Metazoa; Chordata; Mammalia; Carnivora; Felidae.
UGAAAGAAGAAAGGAUGAAGGUGCAGAAAGCCAAUCUUUAAUGGAUCUGGAUGCGUUGUCCACACCCCCACGCUAACCCUCCCAGCAGCUGUCAUCCCUACUGGACAGACGAGGAUUCACCAUCCUGAACCAGGAGAAGCAGCUAAAAACCCUGGAUUCCAGCCCCGGUGCCAUCUAGACAGAGAUCGUGUCAGAAUGGACCCUAGUGGAAAUUGAGCCUUUCAAAGUGACGUCAACAUGAUACUGGCACCUGGCCUUGGGUCUCUUUACAAAGGAAAGGGGAGGAGCAAAUUCAGAAAGGCAGUCCAGUGCUUUACCCACAGGCAAAACAAAAGGGGUCCCAGCCUAACAAGAAUUAGGGCUGCUUGGGAGGAUGCUGUGCUCCUGGAUGAAGACCUCUCCAUUGCAUCUGGAGACAACCUAGCCCCAAACCCAGCACCCCACCUCACCAACUCCUCCUUUGCUUAUUCUGAAGUAAAGCCUGCCAACUGCGCAGUCUGCUUGCAUCUACAAACGCCCCAGUCAUCUGAUUGUGAAAGAGCAGAGAAACAGACAUGUGCUUUCAACACAGAGAAGACCCACCAAGCAACCUAGAAACAAACCAAGUCAUUCUCCUACCUGCAAUUCCAAGUAGACAAGCGAAGUUAACCAGACCUCAGAAUAAAGUGAGCAGCAUAAAAACA